This 567-nucleotide ribosomal RNA is filed under the name Vishniacozyma victoriae. Its description in RNAcentral is "partial large subunit ribosomal RNA". It matches the Rfam family "Eukaryotic large subunit ribosomal RNA", at positions 98 to 654 of the family's 3401-position model. The record is from RNAcentral. Lineage: Eukaryota; Fungi; Basidiomycota; Tremellomycetes; Tremellales; Bulleribasidiaceae.
CGGGAUGAAGCUUCAAAUUUAAAAUCUGGCGUCUUUCAGGCGUCCGAGUUGUAAUCUAUAGAGGCGUUUUCCGCGCCGGACCGCGUCCAAGUCUCUUGGAAUAGAGUAUCAAAGAGGGUGACAAUCCCGUACUUGACGCGACAACCGGUGCUCUGUGAUACGUUCUCAAUGAGUCGAGUUGUUUGGGAAUGCAGCUCUAAAUGGGUGGUAAAUUCCAUCUAAGGCUAAAUAUUGGCGAGAGACCGAUAGCGAACAAGUACCGUGAGGGAAAGAUGAAAAGCACUUUGGAAAGAGAGUUAAACAGCACGUGAAAUUGUUAAAAGGGAAACGAUUGAAGUCAGUCGUGUGAAAGGUAUUCAGCCGUCUCUGGCGGUGUAUUUGCCUUUCACGGGUCAACAUCAGUUUGAUCCGGUAGAAAAAGGCGGGAGGAAGGUGGCACCCUCGGGUGUGUUAUAGCCUCCUGUCAUAUGUGCCGGACCAGACUGAGGAACGCAGCUUGCCGCAAGGCCGGGGUUCGCCCACGUACAAGCUUAGGAUGUUGACAUAAUGGCUUUAAACGACCCGUCU